Molecule: long non-coding RNA, 1147 nt
Filed under: Coturnix japonica (Japanese quail)
Lineage: Eukaryota; Metazoa; Chordata; Aves; Galliformes; Phasianidae
Description: lncRNA (ENSCJPG00005007377.1)
Source: RNAcentral
AAGUAUCCUUUUCUUCUGCAGUGAACUUAAACUUUCCAAAGCUCUUGUACAAGUUAGUGUCCUGACAGAGAGUAACUUCAUGGAGUUCUUCUUGUAAAUUAGAGCAGUUGAGUGCUGAGGAAGAACAGAGUUAGCAGCCUAAGUGGGAAGCCUCUCGUUUUCAAGAAAGAUUGAUAUUUAUGGAUUUUGAAGAAACUAUUUGGAAAGUCAAAUAUCUAACAGCUGUAAGGAAGAAGGGAAGAAUUAGAGAUGAGGGUUAACUUUCAGCAAAAAACUGCAUGUCUCACAGUAGAAAAGCACAAAUAUUAUCAUUUCCUGAAUAUUUUCAUUGGAUAUUGCACACUAAAGCUGAAAAAGCAGAGCACCUUGAAGGGCUAAGAAACAAAAGAUGGCUCCAUCUUUAUACUGUACAGUGUUUGUCACACAAUCCCCAGAACAGAAAACUAAAUUAUACUGCUGGGUGAGCCUCAGUGGAGCGCUUGGUGUGCCAGCAACAUUCUCCUUCUCCCAGGCCCCACAGCAUUGGAUUGAGCAGGCAGCAGAGCAAGAAAGAAUGCAGAUGCAAUGAUCACUUUAUCUCUGCACUCCAGAAAUCUCCCUCAGCUCCAUCACAGCAAGCUGCAGAGCUAAACUGAGUUGCCCUGACAGAAGGAAGUCAGGCUACCUUCUUUGCUCUUUGUUGAGCAGGAUGUUUGUUCACACACUGUUCAUUUUUAUUAAUUUAUUUGUCUGUCUGACUGUUUGUUUGUUUGUUUAUUUAGUGAUGCACACAGAAUAACUAAUAACUAGUAACACAGAAUACAGAAACUGCGUACUCAAUUAUAUGUAACUGAAUAUAACCUUAUAGUGUAAAAUAUUUAUAAUGCCAUCUAUAUCCCUGACCUUAUCAUUGAAGACAUCCGAUAAUAUACACAAUACCACCAUAUAUCUGAUGCCUGAUACGUCAAAUUACAGUAAGAUCUUAUUGAUAAAACCAACUUCUGUGUAUAAGGCUGUGAAUGGACUGUAAAGCAAGGAGGACAGUGACAUUUUAAAUAGAACUGGAAGCAUCAAGGCUACUCAUGUAGAGUUCCCGUGACACAAACUGAAGAUGAAAUUUUUAUCAUACUUUAAUAAAGCUUUCAAAUAUGUAUACUUUAUAAAAUUA